UACGGGGGGGGUAAGCGUUGUUCGGAAUUACUGGGCGUAAAGGGCUCGUAGGUGGCCAACUAAGUCAGACGUGAAAUCCCUCGGCUUAACCGGGGAACUGCGUCUGAUACUGGAUGGCUGGAGUUUGGGAGAGGGAUGCGGAAUUCCAGGUGUAGCGGUGAAAUGCGUAGAUAUCUGGAGGAACACCGAUGGCGAAGGCGGCAUCCUGGACCAACACUGACGCUGAGGAGCGAAAGCCAGGGGAGCAAACGGG
This 253-nucleotide ribosomal RNA is filed under the name uncultured bacterium. RNAcentral describes it as "partial 16S ribosomal RNA". It matches the Rfam family "Bacterial small subunit ribosomal RNA", at positions 524 to 776 of the family's 1533-position model. The record is from RNAcentral.